GCCCACCUCAAGAUGAGUGCUCUCCUA
Molecule: ribosomal RNA, 27 nt
Filed under: Oxymitra incrassata
Lineage: Eukaryota; Viridiplantae; Streptophyta; Marchantiopsida; Marchantiales; Oxymitraceae
Description: partial 23S ribosomal RNA
Source: RNAcentral